Non-coding RNA from Flavobacterium sp. ABG, 80 nucleotides. The record is from Rfam. Lineage: Bacteria; Pseudomonadati; Bacteroidota; Flavobacteriia; Flavobacteriales; Flavobacteriaceae.
CCCUAGCCCUUAUGGGAGGGAAAAUCCUUUUGCUUUUUUCUUUAAAAAGCAAAAGAUUGGAAGGAACAGAAGGAUUAGCU